AGUGAACGCUGGCGGUAGGCCUAACACAUGCAAGUCGAACGGCAGCACAGUAAGAGCUUGCCCUUACGGGUGGCGAGUGGCGGACGGGUGAGGAAUACAUCGGAAUCUACUUUUUCGUGGGGGAUAACGUAGGGAAACUUACGCUAAUACCGCAUACGUCCUACGGGUGAAAGCAGGGGAUCUUCGGACCUUGCGCGAUUGAAUGAGCCGAUGUCGGAUUAGCUAGUUGGCGGGGUAAAGGCCCACCAAGGCGACGAUCCGUAGCUGGUCUGAGAGGAUGAUCAGCCACACUGGAACUGAGACACGGUCCAGACUCCUACGGGAGGCAGCAGUGGGGAAUAUUGGACAAUGGGCGCAAGCCUGACCCAGCCAUACCGCGUGGGUGAAGAAGGCCUUCGGGUUGUAAAGCCCUUUUGUUGGGAAAGAAAAGCAGCAGGUUAAUACCCCGCUGUUCUGACGGUACCCAAAGAAUAAGCACCGGCUAACUUCGUG
This 492-nucleotide ribosomal RNA is filed under the name uncultured bacterium. RNAcentral describes it as "partial 16S ribosomal RNA". It matches the Rfam family "Bacterial small subunit ribosomal RNA", at positions 29 to 507 of the family's 1533-position model. The record is from RNAcentral.